RNAcentral lists this transfer RNA (91 nucleotides) under uncultured marine phage. RNAcentral's name for it is "tRNA-Leu". It matches the Rfam family "tRNA". From Rfam's summary of the family: Transfer RNA (tRNA) molecules are approximately 80 nucleotides in length. Their secondary structure includes four short double-helical elements and three loops (D, anti-codon, and T loops). Further hydrogen bonds mediate the characteristic L-shaped molecular structure. tRNAs have two regions of fundamental functional importance: the anti-codon, which is responsible for specific mRNA codon recognition, and the 3' end, to which the tRNAs corresponding amino acid is attached (by aminoacyl-tRNA synthetases). tRNAs cope with the degeneracy of the genetic code in two manners: having more than one tRNA (with a specific anti-codon) for a particular amino acid; and 'wobble' base-pairing, i.e. permitting non-standard base-pairing at the 3rd anti-codon position. The record is from RNAcentral.
GGGGGAGUGGCGAAAUUGGUUGAAACGCAUCAGGUUUAAAUUCUGACACUCUAUGAGGAAACGUUGUGGGUUCGAGUCCCACCUCCCCUAC